GACGAACGCUGGCGGCGUGCUUAACACAUGCAAGUCGAACGGCAAGGCCCUGCUUUUUUGGUGUGCUCGAGUGGCGAACGCGUGAGUAACACGUUAGUAUCCUGCCCUUCACUUUGGGAUAACUUCAGGAAACUGGGGCUAAUACCGUAUCGGAUCUCCUGCUGCAUGGUGGGGGUUGGAACGUUUCGGCGGUUGGGGAUGGACUCGCGGCUUAUCAGCUUGUUGGUGGGGUAGUGGCUUACCAAGGCUUUGACGGGUAGCCGGCCUGAGAGGGUGACCGGCGACAUGGGGACUGAGAGACGGCGCAGACUGCAACGGGAGGCAGUAGGGGGGAAUAUUGUACAAUGGGCCGGAGCCUGAGAAAGAAACGCCGGGUGCGGGAUGACGGCCUGCGGGGUAAAAACAGCUGUCGCCUGUGACGAAGCGGGAGUGACGGUAACGGGUAAAGAAGCACCGGCUAACUACGUG
RNAcentral lists this ribosomal RNA (468 nucleotides) under uncultured bacterium. Its description in RNAcentral is "partial 16S ribosomal RNA". It matches the Rfam family "Bacterial small subunit ribosomal RNA", at positions 28 to 507 of the family's 1533-position model. The record is from RNAcentral.